RNAcentral lists this ribosomal RNA (980 nucleotides) under human gut metagenome. Its description in RNAcentral is "bacterial LSU rRNA". It matches the Rfam family "Bacterial large subunit ribosomal RNA", at positions 1950 to 2925 of the family's 2925-position model. The record is from RNAcentral.
CCUAAGGUAGCGAAAUUCCUUGUCGGGUAAGUUCCGACCUGCACGAAUGGCAUAACGAUGGCCACACUGUCUCCUCCCGAGACUCAGUGAAGUUGAAAUGUUUGUGAUGAUGCAAUCUACCCGCGGCUAGACGGAAAGACCCCAUGAACCUUUACUGCAGCUUUGCAUUGAACUGUGAACCGAUUUGUGUAGGAUAGGUGGGAGGCAGAGAAGAGGCCACGCCAGUGGUCUUGGAGCCGACCUUGAAAUACCACCCUGAUUUGUUUGCGGUUCUAACCACGGACAGUGAUCCUGUCUUGGGACCGUGCAUGGUAGGCAGUUUGACUGGGGCGGUCUCCUCCUAAAGGGUAACGGAGGAGUACGAAGGUACGCUAGGUACGGUCGGAAAUCGUGCUGAUAGUGCAAUGGCAAAAGCGUGCUUGACUGCGAGAGCAACAACUCGAGCAGAUGCGAAAGCAGGUCAUAGUGAUCCGGUGGCUCUGAAUGGAAGGGCCAUCGCUCAACGGAUAAAAGGUACUCUGGGGAUAACAGGCUGAUACCGCCCAAGAGUUCAUAUCGACGGCGGUGUUUGGCACCUCGAUGUCGGCUCAUCUCAUCCUGGGGCUGUAGUCGGUCCCAAGGGUAUGGCUGUUCGCCAUUUAAAGAGGUACGUGAGCUGGGUUUAAAACGUCGUGAGACAGUUUGGUCCCUAUCUGCCGUGGGCGUUGGAAGAUUGACGGGGGCUGCUCCUAGUACGAGAGGACCGGAGUGGACGCACCUCUGGUGUACCGGUUGUCACGCCAGUGGCAUUGCCGGGUAGCUAAGUGCGGAAGAGAUAACCGCUGAAAGCAUCUAAGCGGGAAACUUGCCUGAAGAUGAGUCUUCCCGGAGGUAAAACCUCCCUCAAGAGUCGUCCGAGACCAGGACGUCGAUAGGUCAGGUGUGUAAGCGCUGCGAGGCGUUGAGCUAACUGAUACUAAUUGCUCGUGAGGCUUGAUCCU